AAACCAUGAUGAGGACACUGUCUUUGAAGACUCUUAAAUCUAUCCCAUGCUUCAAAUAAUGAUUCUCCAUACACCUGAGCAAAAUUUGUGAUGCAACUCCUCAUGAAGAUU
This is a small nucleolar RNA of Zingiber officinale, 111 nucleotides long. The record is from RefSeq and is a predicted model, not a curated record. NCBI's taxonomy places the organism in Eukaryota, Viridiplantae, Streptophyta, Magnoliopsida, Zingiberales, Zingiberaceae.